AGCUCCAAUAGCGUAUAUUAAAGUUGUUGCGGUUAAAACGCUCGUAGUUGGUUUUCUGUCGGGGGUGACUGGUCGUCCCCAGUGGAUGGUACUUGUUUUGCCCCUGGCAUCUUCCAAGGGAACACGUUCACACUUAACUGUGUGGCGCGGAAGCUUGGACCUUUACUUUGAGGAAAUGAGAGUGCUUCAAGCGGGUAUUUGCCACGAAUACGUUAGCAUGGAAUAAUAGUAUUGGACCUCGGACCAAAGCUGUU
Molecule: ribosomal RNA, 254 nt
Filed under: uncultured eukaryote
Lineage: Eukaryota
Description: partial small subunit ribosomal RNA
Rfam family: Eukaryotic small subunit ribosomal RNA
Source: RNAcentral